Molecule: ribosomal RNA, 486 nt
Filed under: uncultured bacterium
Lineage: Bacteria
Description: partial 16S ribosomal RNA
Rfam family: Bacterial small subunit ribosomal RNA
Source: RNAcentral
AUUGAACGCUGGCGGCAUGCCUUACACAUGCAAGUCGAACGGCAGCACGGGUGCUUGCACCUGGUUGCGAGUGGCGAACGGGUGAGUAAUACAUCGGAACAUGUCCUGUAGUGGGGGAUAGCCCGGCGAAAGCCGGAUUAAUACCGCAUACGAUCUACGGAUGAAAGCGGGGGACCUUCGGGCCUCGCGCUAUAGGGUUGGCCGAUGGCUGAUUAGCUAGUUGGUGGGGUAAAGGCCUACCAAGGCGACGAUCAGUAGCUGGUCUGAGAGGACGACCAGCCACACUGGGACUGAGACACGGCCCAGACUCCUACGGGAGGCAGCAGUGGGGAAUUUUGGACAAUGGGCGAAAGCCUGAUCCAGCAAUGCCGCGUGUGUGAAGAAGGCCUUCGGGUUGUAAAGCACUUUUGUCCGGAAAGAAAUCCUUGGCCCUAAUACGGUCGGGGGAUGACGGUACCGGAAGAAUAAGCACCGGCUAACUACGUG